Non-coding RNA from Phellopilus nigrolimitatus, 92 nucleotides. The record is from the annotation of a GenBank genome assembly. Lineage: Eukaryota; Fungi; Basidiomycota; Agaricomycetes; Hymenochaetales; Hymenochaetaceae.
GGUUCGGUGGUGUAGUGGUUAUCACGUCUGUCUCACACUUCAAUGAAUGAGGAGUGCACAGGAGGUCCCCGGUUCGAGACCGGGUCGAAUCA